This is a long non-coding RNA of Ruditapes philippinarum (Manila clam), 1660 nucleotides long. RefSeq lists it as uncharacterized. The transcript is spliced from 2 exons. The record is from RefSeq and is a predicted model, not a curated record. NCBI's taxonomy places the organism in Eukaryota, Metazoa, Mollusca, Bivalvia, Venerida, Veneridae.
UUUGUCUGACUGAAAGAACUUUUGUCUGACCGAAUUUUUUUUCCAAAUAUAUGUAUAUGGUAAUACCUUUGUGUUUUUUAGCUCAUCUGUCACAAAGUGACAGGGUGAGCUUUUGUGAUCGCUUUUCGUCCGGCGUCCGUCCAUCCGUCGUCCGUCCGUAAACUUUUACUUUAAAUGACAUCUCCUCAUAAACCACUAAGCCAAUUUCAUCCAAACUUCACAGGAAUGUUCCUUUGGUGGUCACCUUUAAAAAUUGUUCAAAGAAUUUAAUUCAAUGCAGAACUCUGGUUGCCAUGGCAACCGAAAGAAAAAACUUUAAAUAUCUUCUUUUAAAAAACCAUAAGAGCUAGAGCUUAGAUAUUUUGCAUGAAACAUCUUCUAGUGAGUGUCUACCAAGUUUGUUCAAAUAAAAGCCCUGGGGUCAAAAUUGGCCCGCCCCGGGGGGUCAUUGAUUUUCCCUAUAUGCAUAUAGUAAAAACUUAAAAAAUCUUCUUUUAAAGAACUCAAAGAGCUAUGGCUAAGAUAUUGAGCAUCAAACAUGUUCUAAUAGGUGUCUACCAAGUUUGUUCAAAUAAAAGCCCUGGGGUCAAAAUUGGCCCCGCCCCAGGGGGUCAUUGAUUUUCCCUAUAUGCAUAUAGUAAAAACUUAAAAAAUCUUCUUUUAAAGAACCAAAAGAGUAGAGCUAAGAUAUUUAGCAUGAAACAUGUUCUAAUAAGUGUCUACCAAGUUUGUUCAAAUAAAAGCCCUGGGGUCAAAAUUGGCCCCGCCCCGGGGGGGUCAUUGAUUUUCCCUAUAUGCAUAUAGUAAAAACAUAAAAAAUCUUUUUUUAAAGAACCAAAAGAGUUAGAGCUAAGAUAUUUAGCAUGAAACAUGUUCUAAUAGGUGUCUACCAAGUUUGUUCAAAUAAAAGCCCUGGGGUCAAAAUUGGCCCCGCCUCGGGGGUUCAUUGAUUUUCCCUAUAUGCAUAUAGUAAAAACUUAAAAAAUCUUCUUUUAAAGAACUCAAAGAGCUAUGGGAAAGAUAUUUAGCAUCAAACAUGUUCUAAUAGGUGUCUACCAAGUUUGUUCAAAUAAAAGCCCUGGGGUCAAAAUUGGCCCCGCCCCGGGGGUCAUUGAUAUUCCUUAUAUGUGUAUAGCAAAAACUUAAAAAAUCUUCUUUGAAAAAACCCAAAUAGCUAAAGUUAAGAUAUUAAGCAUGAAACAUCUUUUAGUGAGUGUCUACAAAGUUUGUUCAAAUAAAAGACCUGGGGUCAAAAUUGGCCUUGCCCGGGGGGUCAUUGAUUUUCUUUAUAUGUGAAUAGCAAAAACUUAAAAUCUUCUUUGAAAAAACCCAAAUAGCUAGAGUUUAGAUAUUAAGCUUGAAACAUCUUCUAGUAAGUGUCUACAAAGUUUGUUCAAAUAAAAGCCCUGGCCCGGCCCCAGGGGUGUCAUUGUUUUUAACUAUAUGUGUAUAGUAAAAACUUAAAAAAAAUCUUCUUUUAAAAAGCCCAAUGAGCUAGAGCUUAGAUGUUUAGCAUGAAACAUCUUCUUAUGGGUGUCUACCAAGUUUGUGCAAAUAAAAGCACUUGGGUUAAAUUGGCCCUGCAACGUUGGGGGGUGGGGGUUGGGGGACCUAUAUACAGGUGAGCGACCUCAGGGCCAUCAUGGCCCUCUUGUUUAAA